RNAcentral lists this unclassified non-coding RNA (216 nucleotides) under Ascomycota sp. RNAcentral's name for it is "partial contains small subunit ribosomal RNA, internal transcribed spacer 1, and 5.8S ribosomal RNA". The stretch from base 1 to 47 matches the Rfam family "Eukaryotic small subunit ribosomal RNA", at positions 1785 to 1831 of the family's 1831-position model. The record is from RNAcentral. Lineage: Eukaryota; Fungi; Ascomycota.
AAGGUCGUAACAAGGUUUCCGUAGGUGAACCUGCGGAAGGAUCAUUAUCGUAGGGCUUCGGCCCUGUCGAGAUAGAACCCUUGCCUUUUUGAGUACCUUUCGUUUCCUCGGCAGGCUCGCCUGCCAAUGGGGACCCAAUAAACACUUUGCAGUACCUGUAAUAGUCUGAAAAACAAACAAAAAUUAAAACUUUCAACAACGGAUCUCUUGGUUCUG